RNAcentral lists this ribosomal RNA (403 nucleotides) under uncultured Erwinia sp. RNAcentral describes it as "bacterial SSU rRNA". It matches the Rfam family "Bacterial small subunit ribosomal RNA", at positions 127 to 525 of the family's 1533-position model. The record is from RNAcentral. Lineage: Bacteria; Pseudomonadati; Pseudomonadota; Gammaproteobacteria; Enterobacterales; Erwiniaceae.
UGCCUGAUGGAGGGGGAUAACUACUGGAAACGGUAGCUAAUACCGCAUAACGUCUUCGGACCAAAGUGGGGGACCUUCGGGCCUCACACCAUCGGAUGUGCCCAGAUGGGAUUAGCUAGUAGGUGGGGUAAUGGCUCACCUAGGCGACGAUCCCUAGCUGGUCUGAGAGGAUGACCAGCCACACUGGAACUGAGACACGGUCCAGACUCCUACGGGAGGCAGCAGUGGGGAAUAUUGCACAAUGGGCGCUAGCCUGAUGCAGCCAUGCCGCGUGUAUGAAGAAGGGCUUCGGGUUGUAAAGUACUUUCAGCGGGGAGGAAGGCGAUAAGGUUAAUAACCUUGUCGAUUGACGUUACCCGCAGAAGAAGCACCGGCUAACUCCGUGCCAGCAGCCGCGGUAAUA